Molecule: ribosomal RNA, 497 nt
Filed under: uncultured bacterium
Lineage: Bacteria
Description: partial 16S ribosomal RNA
Rfam family: Bacterial small subunit ribosomal RNA
Source: RNAcentral
GAUGAACGCUGGCGGCGUGCCUAAUACAUGCAAGUCGAGCGAACAGACGCGGAGCUUGCUCCUCUGACGUUAGCGGCGGACGGGUGAGUAACACGUGGAUAACCUACCUAUAAGACUGGGAUAACUUCGGGAAACCGGAGCUAAUACCGGAUAAUAUAUUGAACCGCAUGGUUCAAUAGUGAACGACGGUUUUGCUGUCACUUAUAGAUGGAUCCGCGCCGCAUUAGCUAGUUGGUAAGGUAACGGCUUACCAAGGCAACGAUGCGUAGCCGACCUGAGAGGGUGAUCGGCCACACUGGAACUGAGACACGGGCCAGACUCCUACGGGAGGCAGCAGUAGGGAAUCUUCCGCAAUGGGCGAAAGCCUGACGGAGCAACGCCGCGUGAGUGAUGAAGGUCUUCGGAUCGUAAAACUCUGUUAUUAGGGAAGAACAAAUGUGUAAGUAACUAUGCACGUCUUGACGGUACCUAAUCAGAAAGCCACGGCUAACUACGUG